Molecule: non-coding RNA, 1376 nt
Organism: Odocoileus virginianus texanus
Lineage: Eukaryota; Metazoa; Chordata; Mammalia; Artiodactyla; Cervidae
Source: RefSeq, a predicted model, not a curated record
UCAUGUCUUUUAUCUCCACACGCUGUACUACUUUUCUUAUUUGUUUAUUUGUCUGUCUGCCCCAAUUAGAAGGUCAGCUGGACAAGGGCAGAGAUGUUUGUUCUCUCACUGCUGUUUCCCCAGCACCUGGAAGAGUGCCUAGCACAUCGGCAGGAGCCUGAGGCAUCUCAGCAUAGGGCUGCUUUGGAGAUGAAGACACCAGGCAAGCUGACUCACCACCUCGGCCAGUGACACCUGCUUUGCUUCCGCCAUAAUUAGUGCAUCAGAAGAGCAGUCUCAGGCGGGUGCCCAGAACUGGGGAGGAAUUUCCCUCAAAGAGCAGUGCCCUCUGACCAGCCAAUACUGUAUCUCCCUCCACUCAUCUUCAAAGCUGCCUUUCUCAGCGCAAAUCCAUGAGCUGGCAGCACAACCAGGCUGUCUAAGCAGGAGGAAGCCAAGAAGGAGAUGCCUUCGGUCUUCUGCCCAUCACCUGCCAGAGAACCAGGAUACUUGGUGGCAGCUGGCUUACCUUUCUCCAAACAGCCAUCUGUUGUGACAUCACUGUCAGCUGAGCCUGACUCAUCACUUGUAUCAACCAGCUUCCAGAGUGUGCCGUGUGCCCAGGGUCCUCAACCUCCUUGUCCCUAUGGCCCUGGAUGUGCUCUCUCUGCCUUGCAGCAUGGCUUCUGUGCAGCCACCAAGCAGAGAAUCGUGUGUGAUUUCUGAAGCCAAGUGUCAUGAAGGGCACUGUGGCCUCUGCUUCGGCCUCUUGUAUCUCCAGCCACGACAUCAGAAGAACACUCAAUCAGCCCUUGGGGAGAGGUCUUCAUGGAGAGAAGCUAAGGCCUCCCGCCAAUGGCCAGGUGACCUUGGGAUACAGGUCCUGCUCUCCUAAAUGAGUUUUCCAAGUUCCAUAAUCGGCUUUGAAUAUCCUCAGAGUCCCUGUGGGCGCAUGGCAGUAGGUUACGGCAGCAUCACCGGAGCUGUUUAAAAUGUAACAAACCAAUAAACUCUCAGGGAGCCCAAGGAUGCCUACCCCUGCCAUGGUUCCUGCAGUUCAGCCAGGAAAGUUGUUAAAUGCCAGCCCAUCUGGUCUGCUUGGAACCCUUGGAUGGAAAGAGGACUCACCCCUUCAAACAUCUGAACUUGAUCUCUACAAACGAGAAGGCUUGGGACCAGAAAGCCCCCAGGGUAUGCAGAAAUAACUCUCUCAAAGUCUUUUUGAGGAAACAGGGCCCCUGACCCAUCACACUGACUCAGCCUGCCCACCCCCACCAUUUUGCUCGUGGGCUUUCUUGAUGUAAAUGGAAGAAGACGAAAAACAUUCUCUUUUCUAGGUCCUCCUGGAAGAGGGCAUGGCAACCCACUCCAGUAUUCUUGCCUGGAGAAUCCCCAAG